This 307-nucleotide long non-coding RNA is filed under the name Homo sapiens (human). RNAcentral describes it as "HSALNT0247546". Lineage: Eukaryota; Metazoa; Chordata; Mammalia; Primates; Hominidae. The record is from RNAcentral.
GUUCCCAAUUUCUUCCAUUGUUAUUGUUCUGUUAGUUUCUCUCUUCUGGAAUCAAUUCUGAUAACUGGAUUUCCCAUUGCCAAGGCAUCCUGCAGGACGCUUCCUUUGACGAUGGAGGACUCCUGUGUUUUAGCUCCAUGCAUCUGGGCUGUGGCUCCCCCUAAAUCACUCAUCCCUUAACCUGGAGUUGACUGCAGAUGCGUGAAGGAGCUCAGGAGGGCCAACAGAAGAAGCAUCCAACUGAGCGCAUCUAGCUGGCAACCCACAGAAUCAUCUUGAGGAAAAUAAAUGAUUGUUGCUCAAAACC